Molecule: ribosomal RNA, 544 nt
Filed under: uncultured bacterium
Lineage: Bacteria
Description: bacterial SSU rRNA
Rfam family: Bacterial small subunit ribosomal RNA
Source: RNAcentral
ACGAGAAUCUGUGGAAAGAGGAUUCGUCCAAUUGAAGCAGAGGACAGUGGCGGACGGGUGAGUAACGCGUGAGGAACCUGCCUUUCAGAGGGGGACAACAGUUGGAAACGACUGCUAAUACCGCAUAACAUAUAGAUGUCGCAUGGCAUUUAUAUCAAAGAUUUAUCGCUGAAAGAUGGCCUCGCGUCUGAUUAGCUAGUUGGUGAGGUAACGGCCCACCAAGGCGACGAUCAGUAGCCGGACUGAGAGGUUGAACGGCCACAUUGGGACUGAGAUACGGCCCAGACUCCUACGGGAGGCAGCAGUGGGGAAUAUUGGGCAAUGGGCGCAAGCCUGACCCAGCAACGCCGCGUGAAGGAAGAAGGCUUUCGGGUUGUAAACUUCUUUUGUCAGGGACGAGUAGAAGACGGUACCUGACGAAUAAGCCACGGCUAACUACGUGCCAGCAGCCGCGGUAAUACGUAGGUGGCAAGCGUUGUCCGGAUUUACUGGGUGUAAAGGGCGUGUAGCCGGGAGGGCAAGUCAGAUGUGAAAUCCACGGGCU